GAACGCUAGCUACAGGCUUAACACAUGCAAGUCGACGUGCAGCAUCAUCAAAGCUUGCUUUGAUGGAUGGCGACCGGCGCACGGGUGAGUAACACGUAUCCAACCUGCCGACAACACUGGGAUAGCCUUUCGAAAGAAAGAUUAAUACCGGAUGGCAUAGUUUUCCCGCAUGGGAUAAUUAUUAAAGAAUUUCGGUUGUCGAUGGGGAUGCGUUCCAUUAGGCAGUUGGCGGGGUAACGGCCCACCAAACCAACGAUGGAUAGGGGUUCUGAGAGGAAGGUCCCCCACAUUGGAACUGAGACACGGUCCAAACUCCUACGGGAGGCAGCAGUGAGGAAUAUUGGUCAAUGGACGAGAGUCUGAACCAGCCAAGUAGCGUGAAGGAUGACUGCCCUAUGGGUUGUAAACUUCUUUUAUACGGGAAUAAAGUGAGCCACGUGUGGCUUUUUGUAUGUACCGUAUGAAUAAGGAUCGGCUAACUCCGUGCCAGCAGCCGCGGUAAUACGGAGGAUCCGAGCGUUAUCCGGAUUUAUUGGGUUUAAAGGGAGCGUAGGCGGGUUGUUAAGUCAGUUGUGAAAGUUUGCGGCUCAACCGUAAAAUUGCAGUUGAUACUGGCGACCUUGAGUGCAACAGAGGUAGGCGGAAUUCGUGGUGUAGCGGUGAAAUGCUUAGAUAUCACGAAGAACUCCGAUUGCGAAGGCAGCUUACUGGAUUGUAACUGACGCUGAUGCUCGAAAGUGUGGGUAUCAAACAGGAUUAGAUACCCUGGUAGUCCACACAGUAAACGAUGAAUACUCGCUGUUGGCGAUAUACAGUCAGCGGCCAAGCGAAAGCAUUAAGUAUUCCACCUGGGGAGUACGCCGGCAACGGUGAAACUCAAAGGAAUUGACGGGGGCCCGCACAAGCGGAGGAACAUGUGGUUUAAUUCGAUGAUACGCGAGGAACCUUACCCGGGCUUAAAUUGCAACUGACUGAACCGGAAACGGUUCUUUCUUCGGACAGUUGUGAAGGUGCUGCAUGGUUGUCGUCAGCUCGUGCCGUGAGGUGUCGGCUUAAGUGCCAUAACGAGCGCAACCCUUACGGGUAGUUACCAUCAGGUUAUGCUGGGGACUCUACCCGGACUGCCGUCGUAAGAUGUGAGGAAGGUGGGGAUGACGUCAAAUCAGCACGGCCCUUACGUCCGGGGCUACACACGUGUUACAAUGGGGGGUACAGAAGGCAGCUACACGGCGACGUGGUGCUAAUCCCGAAAGCCUCUCUCAGUUCGGAUUGGAGUCUGCAACCCGACUCCAUGAAGCUGGAUUCGCUAGUAAUCGCGCAUCAGCCACGGCGCGGUGAAUACGUUCCCGGGCCUUGUACACACCGCCCGUCAAGCCAUGAAAGCCGGGGGUACCUAAAGUACGUAACCGCGAGGAG
Molecule: ribosomal RNA, 1416 nt
Filed under: uncultured organism
Description: 16S ribosomal RNA
Rfam family: Bacterial small subunit ribosomal RNA
Source: RNAcentral